Molecule: long non-coding RNA, 380 nt
Organism: Myotis davidii
Lineage: Eukaryota; Metazoa; Chordata; Mammalia; Chiroptera; Vespertilionidae
Exons: 3
Source: RefSeq, a predicted model, not a curated record
UAAAGGUCUGCAGAGAACGAUGUCUUCUGCUGUAUGAGGGAAUGACUCAGCAUGGGAAAUUGAGGUGUCUGCCUUCUGUGCUCUCAUCCAAGAUCCCCCAACCCUGGAUUCUCCUCACACAGCUCCAGUCCACUCUGUCCUCCCUCUGCUGGAGCCCAAGCUUCCUCACCUCUCUCAGCCUCCAAAGAAUUGAAGAGACUUAGGACCUUUCUCUGGAUUAUCCUUUGGCAUAAGAAAAUGUUACGGUGGGCUUGACCUCUCUAGAACACUAGAACUUUCUCCAUAUAAACAAUAAGGGAAUAAAGAGGCCUGAAGAGUGGAAGAGAGAUUGGGGAACAGCAGAUUAGUAGAGCUGUCAGAAUACAUACAACAUUUUCCCA